This 730-nucleotide ribosomal RNA is filed under the name uncultured bacterium. RNAcentral's name for it is "bacterial SSU rRNA". It matches the Rfam family "Bacterial small subunit ribosomal RNA", at positions 615 to 1342 of the family's 1533-position model. The record is from RNAcentral.
GUGAGCGUGCGGGCGAUACGGGCAGACUUGAGUACUGCAGGGGAGACUGGAAUUCCUGGUGUAGCGGUGGAAUGCGCAGAUAUCAGGAGGAACACCGGUGGCGAAGGCGGGUCUCUGGGCAGUAACUGACGCUGAGGAGCGAAAGCGUGGGGAGCGAACAGGAUUAGAUACCCUGGUAGUCCACGCCGUAAACGGUGGGUACUAGGUGUGGGUUUCCUUCCUUGGGAUCCGUGCCGUAGCUAACGCAUUAAGUACCCCGCCUGGGGAGUACGGCCGCAAGGCUAAAACUCAAAGAAAUUGACGGGGGCCCGCACAAGCGGCGGAGCAUGUGGAUUAAUUCGAUGCAACGCGAAGAACCUUACCUGGGUUUGACAUGCACAGGACGCCGGCAGAGAUGUCGGUUCCCUUGUGGCCUGUGUGCAGGUGGUGCAUGGCUGUCGUCAGCUCGUGUCGUGAGAUGUUGGGUUAAGUCCCGCAACGAGCGCAACCCUUGUCUCAUGUUGCCAGCGGGCAAUGCCGGGGACUCGUGAGAGACUGCCGGGGUCAACUCGGAGGAAGGUGGGGAUGACGUCAAGUCAUCAUGCCCCUUAUGUCCAGGGCUUCACACAUGCUACAAUGGCCGGUACAAAGGGCUGCGAUGCCGCGAGGUUAAGCGAAUCCUUUUAAAGCCGGUCUCAGUUCGGAUCGGGGUCUGCAACUCGACCCCGUGAAGUCGGAGUCGUCUAGUAAU